RNAcentral lists this ribosomal RNA (472 nucleotides) under uncultured bacterium. Its description in RNAcentral is "partial 16S ribosomal RNA". It matches the Rfam family "Bacterial small subunit ribosomal RNA", at positions 30 to 506 of the family's 1533-position model. The record is from RNAcentral.
AGUGAACGCUGGCGGUAGGCCUAACACAUGCAAGUCGAACGGCAGCACAGUAAGAGCUUGCUCUUACGGGUGGCGAGUGGCGGACGGGUGAGGAAUACAUCGGAAUCUACUUUUUCGUGGGGGAUAACGUAGGGAAACUUACGCUAAUACCGCAUACGACCUACGGGUGAAAGCAGGGGAUCUUCGGACCUUGCGGGGGUGGAUGGGCCGAUGUCGGAUUAGCUAGUUGGCGGGGUAGAGGCCCACCAAGGCGACGAUCGGUAGCUGGUCUGAGAGGGUGACAGGCCACAUUGGGACUGAGAUACGGCCCAGACUCCUACGGGAGGCAGCAGUGGGGAAUAUUGCACAAUGGGUGGAAGCCUGAUGCAGCAACGACGUGUGCGGGAUGACGGCCUUCGGGUUGUAAACCGCAUUCGCUGAUGACGAAGCUUUGGGUGACGGUAGUGGGUAAAGAAGCACCGGCUAACUACGU